UUCAGGGAAGUUCAGUUGGAGAGGCCAACUGUCCUCCUUGCCUCCUGGUGUUGUUUUAGUUUCUCCUGGCAUGUUACUGUGUGACAAUUUCCUUUAUUACUGAGGCUUUAACAUAUACAUGAGGCGCUUCCUUUGCUGGAAGAAGAGAAACUCUGCUGGAGAAUGGUGGAAUAUCCUAAACUGGGUGAGUGACAGGAUAUUCCCAGCCUGACAGGAGGAUAACAUGAGGUGAAACAUUUGUAGGUCUGACCCUCAAGCCAGAAUUUCUCAACUUUGGGUCUCCAGCUGUUUUUGGACUACAAUUCACACCAUCCCUGACCGCUGGUCCUGCUAGCUAGGAAUGAUGGGAGUUGUAGUCCAAAAACAGCUGGGGACCCAAGUUUGGGAAGCCCUGCCUUAAGCCUUUCCUGCUGCCUUUCACUAAGAACCCUAAAACAGGCAGGAGGGGGCUUCCUUUCCCAUCUCCUGUUAGAGCAGCAACCUGUGAGCUCAGCCAUAAUGUAUAGAACAGCCUAGUGCCCUCCAGAUGUCAGCAUCCAACUUCCGUUUGCCCCAGCCAAUGUGGCAAAUGGUCAAGGACUGUGAGAGUUAUGGCCCAGCAUCAAGUGGAGGCACAAGGCUUGUACAGAACAUCAUCCUUCCUGAUUAAAAUUCUACAGGGAAGAACUUGAUUCACAGUGAUUCAUACUUUUUAUAUCGAGAGAACUUAGCAGAGAGAGAUAAUUGACCAAGGUAUCUUUAUUAUGUAGCUUUUCUAUAGUAGCUCAAGGUCGCUCAUACCAUAAAUUUGAAACAAUUCAUAGAAUUAAACAUUUGGGCAGAGCCAGAGGGAAAGAAUUUUCAGAAUCCAAUUUUGGCUUUGUGUGAGCUAAAUAUAGCAAAUACUUUGAAACAAGCAUAUCAGCCAAAUCUUGCCCUGCCAUAUAUAUAUAUAUAUAUAUAUAUAUAUAUAUAUAUAUAUAUUCAGUGUUAGAUCUGCAUUUUAAUAUUUAUACCAAACAUUUAGCAUUGGAAUCUAGUAUGGCUAUCUCAUUUUGAUAACUACUUGUGCUCUGGACCCUUGCCCCCUUGACUGAUAAAAAACUAGCAGGGAGGGGACAACUGGCUGGGCCAGGGAGGUGAUUAAUGCCUGCUUGUGGGAGGGAAUGGCCCUUGCCUGCUUGAAUGUAAAGGUAAAGGGACCCCUGACCAUUAGGUCCAGUCGUGACUGACUCAGGGGUUGCAGCGCUCAUCUCGCUUUAUUGGCCAAGGGAGGCGGCGUAUAGCUUCCAGGUCAUGUGGCUGGCAUGACUCAGUCACUUCUGGCGAGCCAGAGCAGGGCACGGAAACACCGUCUACCUUCCCGCCGGAGCAGUACCUAUUUAUCUACUUGCACUUUGACAUGCUUUCGAACUGCCAGGUUGGCAGGAGCAGGGACCGAGCAAUGGGAGCUCACCCCGUCGUGGGGAUUUGAACCGCUGACCUUCUGAUCGGCAAGUCCUAGGGUCUGUGGUUUAACCCACAGCACCACCCGCAUCCCUCCUGCUUGAAGGAGGCAGUGGUAAAACCAUUUCUCAAUAAACUCUCCAUGGAUUCGUAAGAUCUCAGUAACUUCUGGCCAGUUGCCAAUCUCCCCUUCUUGGGCAAGGUUGUUGAGUAGGCAGACCAGAUCCAGGCACUCGUAGAGGAAACUGAUUUUAUAGAUCCAUUUCCAUCAGAGUUUAGGCCCAAUUUUGACACAAAAACUGCUUUGGUCACCGUGUAUGAUUACCUCUGUUGGGAGAGAGACAGAGGAAAUGUGUCCUUGCUAAUUCUCAACCUCUCAGCGGCUUUUGAUACCAUUGAUCAUGGUAUCCUACUGGAGCAGCUGUCCGAGUUAGAGGUGGGUGGCACUGCUUUGUGGUGGUUCUGGUCCUACUUGGAUGGUCGUUUCCAGAGGAUGAUGCUUUGGGAGUGUUCUUUGGUCCUGUGAAGCCUUCAGUGUGGGAUUCCUCAGGGCCUCAUUUUAUCCCCCAUGCUGUUUAACAUAUGCUUGAAACUGCUGAGUGGGGCCAUCUGGAGUUUGGGAAUAUGUUGUCAGCAAUCGUAUACUGAUUACACACAGCUCUCCUUCUCCUUUACAUCUGCAUCAUAUGGGGAACUGUUGUCUUGCCUUGGUAAUGAACUGGAUGAGAGCCCAUGGCUUUGAAAAUGGUUCAGAAACUUUAGCUGGUGCAGAAUUCAGCGGCCAGGUUGCUCAAUGGUGUCAUACAGUUUGAGCAUAUAACACCAACCCUGACCCGACUCCACUGGCAGCUCAAUUCAAAGUGCUGGUUUUGACCUAAAGGUAAAGGUAAAGGUAAAGGGACCCCUGACCAUUAGGUCCAGUCGUGACUGACUCUGGGGUUGCGGCGCUCAUCUCGCUUUAUUGGCUGAGGGAGCCAGCGUACAGCUUCCGGGUCAUGUGGCCAGCAUGACUAAGCCACUUCUGGCGAACUAGAGCAGCACACGGAAACGCCGUUUACCUUCCUGCCGGAGCGGUACCUAUUUAUCUACUUGCACUUGACGUGCUUUCGAACUGCUAGGUUGGCAGGAGCAGGGACCAAGCAACGGGAGCUCACUCCAUCACGGGGAUUCGAACCGCUGACCUUCUCAAUUCAAAGUGCUGGUUUUGACCUAUAAAGCCUUAAAUAGCUCAGGACCGCAACACCUCAAGGACCGUGAACCGACCUGGACUCCGCAAUCAGCAUAUAAAAGCACCAUGAGAAUGGGCCUUUUCUGUGGUGGCUCUCCAUUUCUGGAAUGCUCUCUCCAGGAAGGCUCACCUGUAUAUAUAUCUUUAGGCUCCAGGCAAAAACAUUCCUCAUCUCCCAGGGCUUUGGCAAAUUAAAGAAUAUAUAACCUUCUAAACUGUGUAUGUGUGGCAGGGGGUGGUAGUUAUUGUUUUGGUUUGCUAUUAUGGUAUGUAUUUUUGUGUUUUUAUAUUGUUAGCUGCCCUCAAAUAAAGGGUGAUAUAGAAAUUUAACAAAUAAUAAUACUAACUACAUCAAACCAUAUUGAUGUUUGCAAUUUAGACAAAAUCUGAUAGUGGUGAUGAUAUGUAAGCAGGCAUUUAUUUUGUGUGAUUUCUUCUAAGGCAAGCCUUUCCAGAGCUUGACUGCAUUUCCUAUUAUUUCCCCCAUUUUAUAUUCCAAACGUUUCAUCUCUGUACAUUGUUUGUGGUGUGUGUGUGUGUGUGUGUGUGUGUGUGUGUAUAAUUGAGAUUCUCCCCAUGGGUUCUUGCAUACCUAGAAUCACAAAGCGAUUGUCCAAAAUGUGAGAUGGGACUGGACUAACCUGUUGGAUGGGAGCCACAAGAAAAACACAAAUCAGCAGAGUGUCUUGGCACUUAGCCUUACCAACUGAUCAGGAAAACAACAACAACAACAACAACAACAACAACAACAACAACAACUGUUGUUGUUUUGCUUUCCAGGACAGUUGUUUUGCUUUCCAGGACAGUUGCCAUGAAGACAAAGGGCAAUGCCAUUCCUCUACAUACAUGCCCCAAGCUGCUUGUGAUGGCACCAUUAAAAAAAUUGGGGGCUUAGACCUUUGAUCUGUCCCUGGACCUGCUCUGGGGUCUGCCCUUUGAACAAGGGGGCAUCACUCUGUUAUACCAGAGCAAGAGAGCAAAUGGCCCUGGCUGGGGUAGAGAGUCAGGUCUAAACAGGAAGUCAGCCUUCCGUUCUUUUGUUACGUGAAGAAAGCAAAGACAAAAUAUACUAAAGCUUAAAAAUUAAAUUCUGAGAGAACUAGAAUUCAACAUCUAAGAUUUCUGAACCCCCCCUUUGACUGCAGGAGAAGAAGGGGGUUGUAUUUGGAUUUUUCAAUCCUGCGGAAGUGAGUUUAAAAUAAAGCAAUUUUCCACCGCCCUGAACCAGGAGCGGGCUGUCAGAAUUGACGUCUUGAAGUUUAUCCAGCUCGACAGUUAGUUAAAAGAAGGGUAACAUUUUGAUUCUACUGUUGCCUCUUGAAUUUGGAAGGGGGAAUUUUGGAUAAAGUGUUUCUGGAAAAAGAAAGAUUGUUGCUGUUGCUUUUAUUCCUUUUUUAAAAAAAAAAAAUUUUCCAUCUAGUGGAAUUUAGUGAAAUUGCAACGCAGAGAGUUUAAAAGAGAAGGACUAUUGGACUAUUGUCGUGGGAAAGAAUUUUCUUUGACCUUGAAGGACAAUGCUAGUACAAAGGCUUGAACAAUUGUUCCUGGAAGGUUUCUCAAAACUAAGUGCCCAGCUGGACCAGAUGCGUCAGGAGACGACCUUGAUGAUGGAAGUUACCAGAGCACAGCAGCAAACAAAUGUAAUUCAGUUAAAGGCUAUACAAGCAUAUGAACCUGCUGUAGUGACGGAGGCUUCAGAGAUGGAGGGACCUUUGGACGGGCGAGAUCAGCCUUUGAACUUGACAAAUGAACUUGGGACAAACCAGAUUCGGAAAGAUGAAAUGUGGUCAGAUUUGGAAAUGGGGGGAUGGAUCGACCCCCCUCUAUAUGGUUAUUUGGACCUUCCGAGUCUAGUGAUAGGCUAUCAGAGGAUUGGAGUAGCCGAAGUCUCCAAGCUUUGUGGAAAUUUGAAGUGGUAUUAUCUGUUGUCUGGCUUGGGCAAUGGGUUUGGGAUGGACUUGCUGCAAAGAGUCAAAAGCAUUUUCUUGCUGGAGUAUCCACGACUGGAAGGGAAUCAUCAACAAGAGUGGCGAAAGGGGCAAGAAAGAGACUUGAGGGCCUCGGACACGAGACAACCAGGUUAAGGAGCCGGAUUAUUGAGGUUAAAAGGACUGACAAUCCCGGGUCCAGGGGAGGGGGUUGGAAGCUGACUGGACUGAAUUUGACUUAUUAUUUUUUCCUUUUUAUUUUUUAAUAUUGGGAAUGCUUAUAAAUGUUUGAAGGAUGUUGAAUGAAAUUACAUGGCUUAAGUAAGGAUUGGUUAAUGAUUCGUAAAAAAGGUAAUGAUGUAAGAAUUUGGUAAAUAUCGAAUAUAAGCUAUGAGUUUUAAAGUAUUUAUAUGACAAGAGGGAAAAUAGAAUAAGGAAACGUAAUGACAGAUUGUUAUGAAAAAACAGAAAGGAUUUGCUGUAAAAAUUAAAAAUUAAGAAACAAGAGAGGGGAGGAGGAGGAACUCUAGAAAGGAAGUAAAUAGAGAUUGUAAAGGACUUUAUAUUUUUGUUUUUCUGUUUUUCCUUUUUUUUCUUUGCGGCUGGUCUUUUUUUUUUUUGUUGUUUAUGCACUAUUUUUGUUUUUUGUAUUUUCAAAAUUUUUUGGAAACUUUUGUUGUUAUUCUUUGAAAACUUAAUAAAUAUCAAUUAUAAAAAAAAAAAAAAUAGAGAGUCAGGUCUGUACUCUUGCCUGCCUCUCAUGAACCAGGAAAUAGUCACCAUAGGUUCAUGACAAACACACAUGUACAGGAUGUUGCAUGGUAUGUGUGGGUGGGUAGAUGGAUUGCUGGGCAGAUAUCUAAGUGUGCUUGAGUGAUACCACACCAACAUUUUAGACUUGACAUGUGGAACAUUUGCCAGGAGGGGGGAGGAGUUUCACCACCACAAAGUGAAGCUGGUUACCUGGUGGUGCACAUAAAAUUAUAGCCCUAUGAACUGAAACAUGUUCAAUUACUUUCACGUUUUAAUUUUCCCCGAACUAUGUUUAGUUGUCACACCUGCCAUUGUUAUAAGGCCAAUUUUGCACGUUGAGAAUUCAGAUUGAAACACAAUGGUUUCACCAAAGCUACGUAGCAGUUCCACUGGAUCUCAUAGCAACUGAGCUCAGAUCUUUAAAUUCUCUGUUUCUAUCCUCUAGACCACAUUGUAGUAUUGCUUUUCUAAACGUUACGUGAAGAAUUAGUCUCUGUGUUUCCCAACUUACAAUUUGCCUGAACAGUCAUAAUUAAAGGUAAUUUCAAAGGCCUCUUUCUUGCUGCCAGUACCAUGGGGUCUAAAUUGCUAAGCUGAAUAGUAGACAGGGAUGACAUUUUUACCGUGCAAGCAGGAAGAGCCGUAAUAUCCAAUGCAUCUUUUUUGCUUUUGUCUGGGAACUUUGCCCACUAAACAAGACAUUUGCUGCACCAUAGGGCAGACUACCCUGUAAAAAUCUUUUAAAUGUUCAGAGCAUUAUAAAGAAAUAAUAAUCAUAAAGGCUGGCGAGGAGUGGGAAAACCCAAGAGCUUUUAUUACUGCUCCUGGUGAGUUUUAAUUCCACCUUCCCCAAUUUCAAUCCAUACUGUUGUGCCUCAUUUAGCAAAGCACACUAAGGUUCUGCCCAAUCAAAACACCUAGCAGUAUCCUUGAACCAGCUCGGCAUUGAUCUUGUAAUGGUUUCAAAAGAGUGGUUACAGUGUGUAAUGAUCCAUGUCAGCCGCAUACAUAUACACAAAACACAGGCACCAGCCAACUGCAGAAUGGCAACAUGGUGUGUGUGAGGGGAAGAAUUAAGGGCUUUCAGAUCUCCAGAUGCUCAGCUGCUCCAGUAGCCCAAGGCAGAAAAAAAUGCUGACACUCCAGCCUUUACAAGGGCAGGGCUUAGGUUAACCCUUUUAAAGCCAAGCCAUGACAAUAUGAAUGAAUCAACAUGGUUUCCUAUGGCUGAAGCAAGAGCUACAACAGAGGCUGGGGUUGUGAGGCUCAACAGGAUCUACAGUGCCAGGUUUUGUGAUAUGCUGGGCAGGAUAACAUCAGUGAGCCCCUCUCAUUCUGUUGCAGUCUUGAAGUACUGUUCAGAGGGGGGCGGGGUAUGACAGAAGAAGCUGUGCAAUCAUUCCCUGUGAUUUGGCCAUGUCACCAUGGAAUUGAGAGAGUGUCCCAGAAGCAACAACAGUGGCUCUUGGCAUGUUUGACCCCCAAAUUGGUCUGGAUCUCAGCAACUGUUCAACGUUCCCAAUUGCUAGCACCAGCCAUGGCUUCUGAUAAACUGGGGAGGCCAUGGACCCAAAGUCUGGUCUAACACACUCUCGAGGAACUAGAAUUCUCCUGAGAAAUAUCCACCAAGCUCAUUCGGAGAAGCCAGACCCCCAAUUCACUACACAAAGCACAUUUCCCUUGUGAUUUAAUUAUACAUGGGGUGAGAGCUAAUUUGCGUGGUGUUUGCCUCUCAUGGUCAUUGACUUGUCUCCACACUGCCUGGGUACUUAGCACCAGGGCUCUUUUUGAGCCAGAACUCCCUGGGACUCAGUUCCAACACCUCCCAGGUGUACGCCAUUGCCAUUAUAAGAGAAUAAGGGAGGCACUCAUGGUGAGUUCCGGUACCUCUUUUUCUAGAAAAAUAGCACCACCCACACAUGCAAAUAGCUAACUGGUUGGGGAGACCUCAGUUUGAUCUCUUCAGCUGCUCUAAGCUUGAAAACAGUAUUGGGAACUGCUCAUAUCUAGAACAGUGUGGUGGUGGUGGGGAAAUAUGCCACUAGCAGUGUUCAGCUUGGAUGGACUGUCAAAAUUCCUUCUGAGAAAAAAUGAUGAUGGCCUUACACACCCUUAGCAUUCAUGUGACCUCCAUGUCAUUUGUGUUAAUAAUAAGGAGAGUGUAAUUUCUGGAAACAGGAAUGAUUUAAGUGAGGAUUUACUAGUAAAUAUGCUUUAUUCUCAUAAGUAGCUAAUAACCACAGCUGUCUCCCUCCUAUUGGUAGUUGUAGAUAUGACAGAUCUCAUUACUCAUUAAAUAUAAAGGCACAGCAUUAUAACUAGACUGACAUCCACUCCUUUCACUCUCCAAUUACUCGACCACAGAUUAAUUGGAAGUAACACAAAUGUUUCUGGCAGCAUAAAAUGUUGUUGACUCCAAGCUGGCUGUUUCAGAUGCCUCGGCACGGAAGCAGAGAAAAGUCAUGCAUGCUGUUUGGAAGCACCAUUUAUGGCGUACUGAGGGGCUCACAUGCUCUCUGAACAGUCUUGCACUUUGAUGAGAAGGCAGUUAAAACUGUAAAUAGUAUUUAAACCAUCUAUGCUGCACUGCUGUUCUUGUAUUUGGAAAGGACUUAAUGCUAGGUGUCUGCUUGGCACUUGUAAAUAAGAGCUUAUCUCUUCUGCUAUGUCUUCUGCUGAAACCAUGAUUCCUAACAAAGGCAUAGGGUGGAGUUCAUUGGUUCUGAGAGAAGAUUAUUCAUGCAUGAUCUAGACUUUUGUGAGAGGGAUUUGGAGCCAGAUGUCCAUGGCACCCAAACCCUCUUGAAACAGAAGUUGAGGAGGAAGGUCUCAGUCUUAAGUAUUACCACUGCAGCUGAAGCUGUCCAGGGUGCUACACCCACCACUUCUGCUGGAUGUAGUAUUUACUACCCUCCCAGCUAGAAGUGUAGCUGGCUUCCUAUAUCUGCUGUAGACUCAAGUUUCUAGUAUCUUCUUCCUGUUGAUAACAAUGGCAUUGCAGAAGAAAAAAGAGGUGUGCAUUUAAAAAUGAGGUUGUGUGCUCCUAUCAAGAGCUCAGGAGAUAGGCGCUAGUUCCAGCCCAAACAGAAAGUGUUUUCUUGCUUGUGGCUUAGUGAAUUAUACAUGAUGAUGGAGAAUAAGGAUGACAUAGGGACACAUACAUGACUUCCACAUUAAGGAAAACCUUCUGGUAGCCCAAAUGCUGCAUAUAUUAUUCACGAGCAUUCAUUCUUUCCCUGCUCUGACACUUGCUUUACCACCAAGGUCAGCGUGAAAGUGAAUUAGACCUUGCUCCUUGAAACUAGAUUGCAGAGGAUAAAAGUAGAUUGAAUUAGGAACAUCUGGUGGUGUCAGAUUUCUCUUUAAUGUGGUAUCCACCUUUUUUCUUUCUGUGGCAACAUUGGAUACUGUUUGACAGCUAGUAUCCAGUUGAUGUCAAUAGCUGAAAACAUCAGACAUUCAGCAGUUGAUAGAAUUUGACAGCCAAUGUGUCAUAGAAUCUAGGAAACCUUUUGCAUUCAUGUCAAUCAAAACAGGUGAAUGUUAAUAUCAAAACAUCAAUCCUGCAUAUAUAUAUAUAUAUAUAUAUAUAUAUAUAUAUAUACACAUUUCAAAAUUAGCCAAAGUAGAAACUUAGACUUCAGAUUAUAACAAUUUUUCUUGUUUCAAUUCGACUCUGGAUCUUUCUUUCUUUUUUUUUAAAAAAAGUGUUUAUUAAUUUUCCAAUUAAAACAUCUAAUUAACAUAUCAAAUCAAAUCCAAUGAAAAUAAAAAACUAAAAUAAAAAAGUCCAAUUGUCUCUGGAUCUUUCUAGUAUUUGAUGAGUUUUUAUUCAUGGUCCCUUGAUUCUUAUUUAUCUUUUAUUAUAAUUAACUGGAAUAUUAUGUAAACAUUGCUGUUAAAAUCUAUUGCUGAAUCUCAUAUCUCCUAUUGCACUAUGCAGGGUUAUGAUGGAUUACAUAAAAGUAUUACUGACUGCUGUCCAUUAAAUUUCACAGUCAAGGAGGAGGGUUUCAAACCUCUUACCUUUCAUUUCAUUUCUCUUGAAGCAAACUGAACUCCUAAUAUCACCCCUCCAAAUCAGCUUCCCCAUUCAGCAUUGUCCUCUUCUCCCUUCCCUUCUGAAGCCCUGUUCAACAAAUACCUUCUCCGCUCAGGACCUUGGCUUCUAGUUCCAUCUUUCCCACCUGGGCUGAGCAUGAAGAAACAGGCCUGUGGCAGUGACUUGGGCACAAUACAUCCAGCAACCAUUUGUCUUUGACACCUCGGAUCAUGAGAAAAAGAUAGAAUGUGGGGGGACAGGCUAACGGUUGCUUUUACUGUGUAAAAUGUUAUGACUGGGCCACAGGAGUAGAGGGGAGAGUGAGCCAAGCAGGAGUUUCAAGGCCUCAGCUGCAGAACACAUGAGGUAGCAUGGGAAGAGAAGGAAGUGCAUGGAAUAACCUUCUUGGAUCAGGGCCUCCCUGAGAGCCUGGAAGGAGUGGAGCUUCCAGCUCCUAUACAAGCUCCCACUCUGAGCUGCUUCAUUGUUGAAGCAAGCAUUCCCUUCCAUGCUCUAGCCUGGGCAAAUGAAUAUAUACACAUUUUAUAUUUGGACGCAUGGUUCAUCUAUUUGUAGCUGAAUCCAGUUGGAGAGGAUAUCUGGAAACACAUCUGGCACUGAAGCUUUUGGUCUCUUAGUGCCAGGCAAAGACCUACCUGUUUGCCUCAGUGUUUAUAGAAUCUUGGGCAUUGCUGCGAUUUGUGUAGCUAGGACUCAAUUCUAGUGUUGUAUUUUUGUCUGCGCUUUAUAGCUUUACAAUUGUUGCUGUUCUAAUUAUGUUGAAACCCAUCCUGGCAUCACAUGCUGAAGAACAUGCUAAAAUGCAUACGUAAGUAAAUAAGUCUGGGGAUAUAUAUUUUUUUAUCCUUUUCAGCAACUGGUCUACCCACCCCCAAUUGUUUGCAUAACUCAUAAAUUUCCUGGGUGCAAGAAAGCUGCAUCUUUUAAAAUUGUUUUUGGCAUAGAUAGUUCACUGUAAGCAGAUGCUGCGUCUCACCAGUUGCAUAGAGUUGGCUGCCAAAUACAAAGAUCAUAUGCAUGGAGGGAGGGAGCAAUAUUGUGUCAACAGGCUGUGCCCCCAGUCUGUGAACAUUCCUUAUAAUGUGUGUCGAGAACUCUUAUGUGUAUAGCUGUACCCACGAAGAACUCUCUUUCUCCCAGAUGCAAAUCCUGGGAAAGUUUUGCUAAAGAGUACUUGGGCUAAUUGGCUUUGGAGCUUAUUUUUUAUUAAUGGGUACUAUUUUGUUUCAUCUGGAUUGACUGCAAAGGCUGUCAAGAGUGUUCUACCAGAAGCCGAGAUACUGGGAAAAUUCUGAAAAAUACCGUUGGCUGCAGUUGCUGCAUGUUUUGCUUGUUGGAACUAUUUCACAUAGUGCAGAAAUGAAGAGUCUCCUAAUGUUCACUAAGAGUCAGCCAUUUAUUUUCUGUGAUGCUUUUGAAGGGGAUCUGCACAUAUUAAAGUGUGUGCUGAAUAUCACACAUUUGCAGGAACUGCAAGUGUACCACAUGCUUUCUGAUAUAGCAAUGGCUGCCAGGCAUUUGAAAAGUAGCUCAGGGUAUCCAUGGGCAUACUGCAUCACCUCUGCAAUGCCUGACCUCUCACGCAUCAUGUUAUUCAUAUAUGUAUAUAUGUAUGUAUAUAUGUAUUAUGAGGCCCUCAUGGUCCCUUCCAAGCCUUAUGAGGAACGGUUGAAGGAGCUGGGUAUGUUUCACCUGGAAAAGAGGAGACUGAGAGGAGAAAUGAUAGCAACAUUCAAAUAUCUCAAGGGUUGUCACAUGGAUGAGGGAACAAGCCUGCUCUGGAUGGUAGGACUUGAACCAAUGGAUUCAAAUUGCAAGAAAGGAGAUUCUGACUAAACAUCAGGGAAAAAAUUCUGAUAGUAAAAGCUGUUUGACAGUGAAACGGUCUCCCCUGGGAAAUGGUGGGCUCUCCAUCCUUGGAGGUUUUUAAGCAGAGGUUGGAUGGCCACCUGUCAUGGAUGUUUAAGCUAAGAUUCCUGUAUUUCAGAAGGUUGGACUAGAUGACCCUUGGGGUCCCUUCCAAGUCUACAAUUCUAUGAUUCUACGAUUCUAACUAUACAAUACCUCCCAACAUUCCUCAGGUGAAAAUAGGAAUGUUUUUCACUCCUCCCCAACUGACCCUCCUCAACUCCCCAUUUUUUUGCCACCACCACCACACCAAUAGGACAUAGCACACACUUUAUCCACAAUCCUGAGAAAACUCCUUAAUCCUGAUUUGAUUUGAUUCUUUGAUAGAUUUACAAAAAGGGAAACACAUACCAAUAAAUAAAUUUUAGAAAGGAGCAAUAUUAGACACAGACACACAAAGCAUUUUUUAAAAAUCAAAAACUCAAACUCCUUACAUUCCACUCCACUACCUGUUUCUUCCAACCCAGAGCAUCCUUGCCCUCUGCCUGCCCUCAGAGCCAGUGUGUCACGUGGUGUUGGGCCUCAGUGGCGGCAGCAUCUCCUCUUCCUCAUUUUCCAGCAGCUGUUCCAAGCUGCCCAAGGGAGGAGGCUGGCAGCAGCGGCCAUGAAGAGGCCACAGGAUGCUGCCUUGCUGCUGCCACUGCCGCUGCUCAGGACAAGUGGCAGCUCAUCUCACUCCCUGAAUGGCAGCUCUGGAGCGGGAAGUGGAGGCAUUCCGGAAUCAAAUCAGAAGCCGGGAUGACUUGUCAUUCUUGGUCUGUCCCUGGAAAACAGGGACACUUGGAGGGUAUGCAGUUCUAUGAUUCUAUUCUAUGUUUCGAGGCCCCCUCACGCAUCAUCAUGAUUUAAAAUGUAUGUCACACAUUCUCUGAUACUGAAGAGGUAACUAGAAUGGUGUAUGCUUAUAAAACCCAUCAACAGUGCUAUUACAAGUUCCCUGAACUAUGCAAUGCUCCACUUUAGCAAUCUUCUUCCUCUUUGGUGAUCACUCGUAGCCGAGUAAGAUUGUCUUCCAUAAAGACGGUUUUAACAGUGACUGUGGAGGCCAAUUCUGGAUCCACACGUCCUUCCACAGUGGGGACAUUGGUUUCCGGGCAGGAGUUGAUCACGGUGUGGAUUUGCCAAGCGUGCUUUCCUCUUAGCACGUUUCUCCACUUUAGUAAUAAAUACAGUGGUACCUCUGGUUAAGAACUUAAUUCGUUCUGGAGGUCCGUUCUUAACCUGAAGCUGUUCUUAACCUGAGGUACCACUUUAGCUAAUGAGAUCUCCCACUGCCGUCACGUGAUUUCUUUUCUCAUCCUGAAGCAAAGUACUUAACCCGAGGUAAUAUUUCUGGGUUAGCAGAGCCUGUAACCUGAAGCAUCUGUAACCCGAGGUACCACUGUAGGAGCUUUGUGAACAGGUGAGGCCCCAGACUUCAAACACCCCAGUUCUAUGGAUGUUUCCCUGCACCUGGAAAUCAUGACAGUUGUGUUCAAUGAGGCUCACUUCCUGAGCAAGUGUUUCAUAGGAUCAAUGGCCGUAGGUCAUAUUAUGUGGUGAAGUAUUUCAAGGCACAGUGAAAAAUACUUCACACCACUCACAUGUGAAAGUCAAUCCUGUGCUGAGUUUUGUGUUGUGGUCUAUUGUUAGGGGCAGUAGCUUCUGAGACAUGGUCAAUAGGUGUGGAUUUUGAGGUACCUCAAGUUAUAUGUUAUUAAUGUAUUUUAUUUCUACCUUCCUUAACAGGCAUGGGGAAAGUGGUGGAUAAUGUUUUAAGUCUGGUGUAGGCAGGGGCUAAAAUGAUAUUAUUGGUGGAGAGCCUUCUCCAGGUGGUGCAAUCCUGUCACCAACAUAAUUAUGGGUUGUGGAACAAUUAUGUUAUCCUGAAAUUGGGGAGGGAAAAAUAGUUCUCCUGAAGUGAUAAACUUUUUCUUUUCUUUUGCCUAGCUAAACUUCAACAGCAUUUCAUCUAAUUUCUUCCCAUGGUGUGAAUAUUAAGACCACACAAAUCUCCCUUUUUCCUAG
This 13312-nucleotide long non-coding RNA is filed under the name Podarcis lilfordi (Lilford's wall lizard). Lineage: Eukaryota; Metazoa; Chordata; Lepidosauria; Squamata; Lacertidae. The record is from RNAcentral.